RNAcentral lists this ribosomal RNA (499 nucleotides) under uncultured bacterium. RNAcentral's name for it is "bacterial SSU rRNA". It matches the Rfam family "Bacterial small subunit ribosomal RNA", at positions 8 to 507 of the family's 1533-position model. The record is from RNAcentral.
AGAGUUUGAUCCUGGCUCAGAUUGAACGCUGGCGGCAUGCCUUACACAUGCAAGUCGAACGGCAGCACGGGGGCAACCCUGGUGGCGAGUGGCGAACGGGUGAGUAAUACAUCGGAAUGUACCCAGUAGUGGGGGAUAACUAGUCGAAAGAUUAGCUAAUACCGCAUACGCACUAUGGUGGAAAGCGGGGGAUCGCAAGACCUCGCGCUAUUGGAGCAGCCGAUGUCCGAUUAGGUAGUUGGUGGGGUAAAAGCCUACCAAGCCUGCGAUCGGUAACUGGUCUGAGAGGACGACCAGUCACACUGGGACUGAGACACGGCCCAGACUCCUACGGGAGGCAGCAGUGGGGAAUUUUGGACAAUGGGCGCAAGCCUGAUCCAGCAACGCCGCGUGAGUGAUGAAGGCCUUCGGGUCGUAAAGCUCUGUGGGGAGGGACGAACGGCGCCAUGAAGAGUGGCGAUUGACGGUACCUCCUUAGCAAGCACCGGCUAACUUCGUG